This 593-nucleotide ribosomal RNA is filed under the name Pasiropsis sp. UCR ENT 00052195. RNAcentral describes it as "eukaryotic LSU rRNA". It matches the Rfam family "Eukaryotic large subunit ribosomal RNA", at positions 660 to 1152 of the family's 3401-position model. The record is from RNAcentral. Lineage: Eukaryota; Metazoa; Arthropoda; Insecta; Hemiptera; Reduviidae.
CACGGACCAAGGAGUUUAGCGUGUACGCAAGUCAUUGGGUGAAUAAAACCCAAAGGCGAAAUGAAAGUAAAGAGUGGAAAAUUUGUAAUUUAUUAUAAAUUUUCCCUUGAGGGAAGAUGGAGUUUCUUUUUUGUUUUAUUUUAAAAAUUUAUUUUUGAAUUGACAAGAAAAGAUCUCUCGCAUUCCCAGGGCGCUUGUUUCUCGCUUUGCGAGUCGAUGCGCACCUAGAGCGUACACGCUGAUACCCGAAAGAUGGUGAACUAUGCCUGGCCAGGACGAAGCCAGGGGAAACCCUGGUGGAGGUCCGCAGCGAUUCUGACGUGCAAAUCGAUCGUCGGAGCUGGGUAUAGGGGCGAAAGACCAAUCGAACCAUCUAGUAGCUGGUUCCCUCUGAAGUUUCCCUCAGGAUAGCUUGCGCUCAGUUGAGACGAGUCUCAUCCGGUAGAGCGAAUGAUUAGAGGCAUUGGGGUCGAAACGACCUCAACCUAUUCUCAAACUCCAAAUAGAUGAGACCCCCGGCUUUCUUGAAAAAGAAUGAAGCCGUGGGAUUAGGAUCAGAGUGCCAAGUGGGCCAAUUUUGGUAAGCACAACUG